This 1428-nucleotide ribosomal RNA is filed under the name metagenome. RNAcentral's name for it is "SSU rRNA". It matches the Rfam family "Eukaryotic small subunit ribosomal RNA", at positions 357 to 1801 of the family's 1831-position model. The record is from RNAcentral.
GGGUAACGGAGAAUCAGGGUUCGAUUCCGGAGAGGGAGCCUUAGAAAUGGCUACCACAUCUAAGGAAGGCAGCAGGCGCGCAAAUUACCCACUCUCAGCUCGAGGAGGUAGUGACGAAAAAUAACGAUAUGGGACUCAUCUGAGGCCUCAUAAUUGGAAUGAGUACAAUUUAAAUCCUUUAACGAGGAACAAUUGGAGGGCAAGUCUGGUGCCAGCAGCCGCGGUAACUCCAGCUCCAAUAGCGUAUAUUAAAGUUGCUGCAGUUAAAAAGCUCGUAGUUGGAUUUCAGGACUGGAUCUAUUGGUUGGUAUGAUUUACUAACCUUUAGCUUCCGCCUAAUCAGCCGCUUGUCAUUUUGGGUGCUCUUUAUCGGGUGCUCAGAAUACUCGGCACGUUUACUUUGAAAAAAUUAGAGUGCUCAAAGCAGGCCUUGUGCUUGAAUACUGUUGCAUGGAAUAAUGGAAUAGGACUUCGGUUCUAUUUUGUUGGUUUUCGGAAUCGAAGUAAUGAUUAAUAGAGACAGACGGGGGCAUCUGUAUGGUGGUGUUAGAGGUGAAAUUCGAUGAUCGCCGCCAGACAAACAACUGCGAAAGCAUUUGUCUAGGAUGUUUUCAUUAAUCAAGAACGAAAGUCAGAGGUUCGAAGACGAUCAGAUACCGUCCUAGUUCUGACCAUAAACUAUGCCAACUGACAAUCGAGAUUUAUUUGUUCUAAUCAUCUCGGCAGUCCCUGGGAAACCUUUAAGUCUAUCGGUUCUGGGGGGAGUAUGGUUGCGAAGGCGAAACUUAAAGGAAUUGACGGAAGGGCACCACCAGGUGUGGAGCCUGCGGCUUAAUUUGACUCAACACGGGAAAACUCACCCGGCCCGGACACUGUGAGGAUUGACAGAUUGAUAGCUCUUUCUUGAUUCAGUGGGUGGUGGUGCAUGGCCGUUCUUAGUUGGUGGAGUGAUUUGUCUGGUUAAUUCCGAUAACGAACGAGACUCUAACCUGCUAACUAGUUGCCACGUGCUUAAUUGCGUGGAUUCAACUUCUUAGAGGGAUUCGCUACUCUAUAGUGGCACGAAACUGAGCAAUAACAGGUCUGUGAUGCCCUUAGAUGUUCGGGGCCGCACGUGCGCUACACUGACGAUAUCAGUGAGUUUAUUCCUAAGCCGAAAGGUUUGGGAAAUCUUAUGAAUUAUCGUCAUGUCAGGGAUUGGGGCUUGUAAUUAUUCCCCAUGAACGAGGAAUACCCAGUAAGCGCAAGUCAUAAGCUUGCGUUGAUUACGUCCCUGCCCUUUGUACACACCGCCCGUCGCUACUACCGAUUGGAUGACUUAGUGAGGCCUUUGGAUUGGAAUCAAUAGAUUGGCGCAAGUCAAUUUGUUGAAUCCGAGAAAAUCGUCAAACUUGGCCAUCUAGAGGAAGUAAAAGUCGUAACAAGGUU